This 1507-nucleotide ribosomal RNA is filed under the name metagenome. Its description in RNAcentral is "bacterial SSU rRNA". It matches the Rfam family "Bacterial small subunit ribosomal RNA". The record is from RNAcentral.
UUUGAUCCUGGUUCAGAUUGAAUGCUGACAGCGUGGAUGAGGCAUGCAAGUCGUACGAAAAUCUCUCUCGAGAGAUUUUAGUGGCGGAAGGGUUAGUAAUACAUGGGUAACUUACCUUCUACACGGGGAUAACGACUGGAAACAGGCGCUAAUACCCGAUAUGGUGUAGUGAUCAAUGAUUGCUAUAUUAAAGUGGGGGAUCGGGAGACCGACCUUGCGGUAGAAGAGAGGCUCAUGCGAUAUCAGCUUGUUGGUGAGGUAAUGGCUCACCAAGGCUAAGACGUCUAGGCGGAUUGAGAGAUUGACCGCCAACACUGGGACUGAGACACUGCCCAGACACCUACGGGUGGCUGCAGUCGAGAAUCUUUCGCAAUGGGCAAAAGCCUGACGAAGCGACGCUGUGUGAGCGAUGAAGGCCUUAGGGUUGUAAAGCUUUUUCGCCCGUGAACAAAACGGUGGGAGUAAUAUCCCCACAAUUUGAGCGUAGCGGGUAAAGAAGCACCGGCUAACUCCGUGCCAGCAGCUGCGGUAAUACGGAGGGUGCAAGCAUUAAUCGGAUUUAUUGGGCGUAAAGGGGGCGCAGGCGGAUAGAAUAGUCAGAUGUGAAAUCCCGGGGCUCAACCCCGGAACUGCAUUUGAAACUCUCUAUCUAGAGGAUAGGCGGAGAAAACGGAAUUCCACAAGUAGCGGUGAAAUGCGUAGAUAUGUGGAGGAACACCGGUGGCGAAGGCGGUUUUCUAGCUUAUUCCUGACGCUGAGGCCCGAAAGCUAGGGGAGCAAACAGGAUUAGAUACCCUGGUAGUCCUAGCCGUAAACUAUGCAUACUUGGUGUAGCCGGACUCAACCCCGGUUGUGCCGUAGCUAACGCGUUAAGUAUGCCGCCUGGGGAGUACGCUCGCAAGGGUGAAACUCAAAAGAAUUGACGGGGACCCGCACAAGCAGUGGAGCAUGUGGUUUAAUUCGAUGCAACGCGAAGAACCUUACCCAGACUUGACAUGUAGUGGACCGCUCCAGAGAUGGAGCUUUCCUUCGGGACCGCUACACAGGUGCUGCAUGGCUGUCGUCAGCUCGUGCCGUGAGGUGUUGGGUUAAGUCCCGCAACGAGCGCAACCCUUAUCGUCAGUUGCCAGCACGUAAUGGUGGGAACUCUGGCGAGACUGCCUGGGUUAACCAGGAGGAAGGUGAGGAUGGGGUCAAGUCCGCAUGGCCCUUAUGUCUGGGGCUACACACGUGCUACAAUGGCCGGUACAGAAGGCAGCAAUACCGCGAGGUGGAGCAAAUCCCAAAAACCGGCCCCAGUUCGGAUUGGAGUCUGCAAUUCGACUCCAUGAAGUUGGAAUUGCUAGUAAUGGCGUGUCAGCAACAACGCCGUGAAUACGUUCCCGGGUCUUGUACACACCGCCCGUCACAUCAUGGGAGUUGGUUUUGCCCGACGUCGCUGACUCAACCGCAAGGGGAGAGGCGCCUAAGGUGAGGCCGAUAACUGGGAUGAAGUCGAAACAAGGUA